RNAcentral lists this small RNA (27 nucleotides) under Bombyx mori (domestic silkworm). Its description in RNAcentral is "ovarian small RNA-7894". Lineage: Eukaryota; Metazoa; Arthropoda; Insecta; Lepidoptera; Bombycidae. The record is from RNAcentral.
UGAAAUUGUCACUACAUGACCUAUAUC